GCGAUUGUAGUUCAGCGGUAGAACGUCGGCUUCCCAAGUCGAAUGUCGCGAGUUCAAAUCUCGUCAAUCGCUCCA
RNAcentral lists this transfer RNA (75 nucleotides) under Bacteriophage sp. RNAcentral's name for it is "tRNA-Gly". It matches the Rfam family "tRNA". From Rfam's summary of the family: Transfer RNA (tRNA) molecules are approximately 80 nucleotides in length. Their secondary structure includes four short double-helical elements and three loops (D, anti-codon, and T loops). Further hydrogen bonds mediate the characteristic L-shaped molecular structure. tRNAs have two regions of fundamental functional importance: the anti-codon, which is responsible for specific mRNA codon recognition, and the 3' end, to which the tRNAs corresponding amino acid is attached (by aminoacyl-tRNA synthetases). tRNAs cope with the degeneracy of the genetic code in two manners: having more than one tRNA (with a specific anti-codon) for a particular amino acid; and 'wobble' base-pairing, i.e. permitting non-standard base-pairing at the 3rd anti-codon position. The record is from RNAcentral.